This 24-nucleotide non-coding RNA is filed under the name Arabidopsis thaliana (thale cress). The record is from RNAcentral. Lineage: Eukaryota; Viridiplantae; Streptophyta; Magnoliopsida; Brassicales; Brassicaceae.
CAACACCUUUUCAGAAAUCUGUGU